AUACGGAGGAUCCGAGCGUUAUCCGGAUUUAUUGGGUUUAAAGGGUGCGCAGGCGGCCAUUUAAGUCAGCGGUUAAAUCGUGGGGCUCAACCCCAUUCUGCCGUUGAUACUGGGUGGCUUGAUUGCGGUCGAGGUUGGCGGAAUUCGUUGUGUAGCGGUGAAAUGCAUAGAUAUGACGAAGAACACCGAUUGCGUAGGCAGCUGACCAGAUCGCAAAUGACGCUCAUGCACGGAAGUGCGGGGAUCGAACAGGAUUAGAUACCCUGGUAGUCCGCACAGUAAACGAUGAAUACUUGUUUUCGGCGAUAUAAUGUCGGAGGCAAAGCGAAAGCGAUAAGUAUUCCACCUGGGGAGUACGCCGGCAACGGUGAAACUCAAAGGAAUUGACGGGG
This 392-nucleotide ribosomal RNA is filed under the name uncultured bacterium. RNAcentral describes it as "partial 16S ribosomal RNA". It matches the Rfam family "Bacterial small subunit ribosomal RNA", at positions 523 to 918 of the family's 1533-position model. The record is from RNAcentral.